RNAcentral lists this ribosomal RNA (408 nucleotides) under uncultured bacterium. Its description in RNAcentral is "partial 16S ribosomal RNA". It matches the Rfam family "Bacterial small subunit ribosomal RNA", at positions 29 to 526 of the family's 1533-position model. The record is from RNAcentral.
AGUGAACGCUGGCGGCGUGCCUAAUACAUGCAAGUCGAACGGAGUGGCGCACGGGUGAGUAAUAUAUAGCUAAUCUGCCCCUUGCUGGAGGACAACAGUUAGAAAUUACUGCUAAUACUCCAUAGCAAGGGAUGAGACUAUAUCGUAUCAGCUAGUCGGUGGGGUAACGGCCUACCGAGGCUAUGACGCGUAACUGGUCUUAGUGGAUGAGCAGUCAAAUUAGAACGAAGACACGGUCCGAACUCCUACGGUAUGGAGCAGUAGGGAAUAUUGCGCAAGGGGCUAAACCCUGACGCAGCAACGCCGCGUGGAGGAUGACACUUUUCGGGGCUUAAACUCCUUUUGUUAGGGAAGCGGUACCUAACUAAUAAGCACCGGCUAACUCCGUGCCAGCCGCCGCGGUAAUAC